Callorhinus ursinus (northern fur seal) is the source of this 458-nucleotide non-coding RNA. Lineage: Eukaryota; Metazoa; Chordata; Mammalia; Carnivora; Otariidae. The record is from RefSeq and is a predicted model, not a curated record.
UGGUGCCUGGUCUUGGGAUAUAUCUCAGCGUCUGGAGUCCUUCCUUUCUGAUGGCUCUUUCGGUAGAUCCCACUGUCCAGCUUUUCAAGAAGGGCUCUAACUGGAUUGGCUGGCCACAUCCAGCAGAGGCCCCAGCACAGUGUGCAGAGAGCUUGUACUAGGCCGCAUCAGGGACAGUGCUCCAUAUAUGGCGAGCCCCUCAGACAGGGACUAUGGGCGGAAUCACGACCUUAUGCUAAGUCUAAUCUCCUGGAAGGAUGAGAAAAACUUGUGGAGGAGAGAUUUGUCAUGGCUGAGGUCAGUUGAGACAUGCUUGCCCCAAGCCAGUCACCACUGGAAACAUCCCAGCUGACCUAGAAAACAUGCAAGUGAGCCCAACCAAGAUCAGGAGAAAUUCCCAACUUAAAUCACAAACCCACAAAUCUGUGAGCUAAAUAAAUGAUUGUUGUUUCAAGCCA